UGAACGCUGGCGGCGUGCUUAACACAUGCAAGUCGAACGAUGAAGCCUAGCUUGCUAGGUGGAUUAGUGGCGCACGGGUGAGUAAUAUAUAGUUAACGUGCCUCUUAGUCUGGGAUAGCCAUUGGAAACGAUGAUUAAUACUAGAUACUCCUUCUCUUCAUAAGUAGAGUCGGGAAAGUUUUUCGCUAAGAGAUCGGACUAUAUCGCAUCAGUUAGUUGGUAGGGUAACGGCCUACCAAGACAAUGACGCGUAGCGGGUUUGAGAGGAUGAUCCGCCACACUGGUACUGAGACACGGACCAGACUCCUACGGGAGGCAGCAGUGAGGAAUAUUGCACAAUGGGGGAAACCCUGAUGCAGCAACGCCGCGUGGAGGAUGACGCAUUUCGGUGUGUAAACUCCUUUUAUAUGUCAAGAAAAUGACGGUAGCAUAUGAAUAAGCACCGGCUAACUCC
RNAcentral lists this ribosomal RNA (454 nucleotides) under uncultured bacterium. RNAcentral's name for it is "bacterial SSU rRNA". It matches the Rfam family "Bacterial small subunit ribosomal RNA", at positions 30 to 504 of the family's 1533-position model. The record is from RNAcentral.